GACGAACGCUGGCGGCGUGGAUUAGGCAUGCAAGUCGAACGGUAUCAUCCUUUCGGGGGUGAGAGAGUGGCGAACUGGUGAGUAACACGUAGGUUAUCUACCCUCAAGACGGGGACAACCCAGGGAAACUUGGGCUAAUACCGGAUGUGAGCAACUUUUAGUUGUUUGAAAGGUGGCGUAAGCUGUCGCUUGGGGAUGAGCCUGCGUCCUAUUAGUUAGUUGGUGAGGUAACGGCUCACCUAGGCAAUGAUAGGUAGGCGGCCUUAACGGGUGGUCGCCCACACUGGGGAUUGAGAUACGGCCCAGACUCCUACGGGAGGCAGCAGUCGAGAAUAGUCUACAAUGGUCGGAAGACUGAUAGUGCGACGCCGCGUGAACGAUGAAUCCCUUCGGGGUGUAAAGUUCUUUUAUAUGUGAGCAGUGCUUCUUAUAUUAACAGUAUGGGGAAGAGAUAUUAGCAUAUGAAUAAGCAACGGCUAAACUCCGUGCCAGCAGCCGACGGUAAACUACG
This 511-nucleotide ribosomal RNA is filed under the name uncultured bacterium. Its description in RNAcentral is "bacterial SSU rRNA". It matches the Rfam family "Bacterial small subunit ribosomal RNA", at positions 28 to 527 of the family's 1533-position model. The record is from RNAcentral.